Molecule: non-coding RNA, 101 nt
Filed under: Clostridium autoethanogenum
Lineage: Bacteria; Bacillati; Bacillota; Clostridia; Eubacteriales; Clostridiaceae
Description: SAM-I sequence
Rfam family: SAM riboswitch aptamer (S box leader)
About the family: The SAM riboswitch is found upstream of a number of genes which code for proteins involved in methionine or cysteine biosynthesis in Gram-positive bacteria.
Source: RNAcentral
AACUUAUCAAGAGUGAUUGAGGGAACGGGCCCUAUGAAAUCCAGCAACCAGUACAGUGUAUAAUGGUGCUAAAUCCUGCAGCGAGAGCUGAAAGAUGAGAG